GACUGAUUAGAAGCUUGCUUCUAUGACGUUAGCGGCGGACGGGUGAGUAACACGUGGGCAACCUGCCUGUAAGACUGGGAUAACUUCGGGAAACCGAAGCUAAUACCGGAUAGGAUCUUCUCCUUCAUGGGAGAUGAUUGAAAGAUGGUUUCGGCUAUCACUUACAGAUGGGCCCGCGGUGCAUUAGCUAGUUGGUGAGGUAACGGCUCACCAAGGCAACGAUGCAUAGCCGACCUGAGAGGGUGAUCGGCCACACUGGGACUGAGACACGGCCCAGACUCCUACGGGAGGCAGCAGUAGGGAAUCUUCCGCAAUGGACGAAAGUCUGACGGAGCAACGCCGCGUGAGUGAUGAAGGCUUUCGGGUCGUAAAACUCUGUUGUUAGGGAAGAACAAGUACGAGAGUAACUGCUCGUACCUUGACGGUACCUAACCAGAAAGCCACGGCUAACUACGUGCCAGCAGCGGUGGGUAAUAAA
Molecule: ribosomal RNA, 478 nt
Filed under: Priestia megaterium
Lineage: Bacteria; Bacillati; Bacillota; Bacilli; Caryophanales; Bacillaceae
Description: bacterial SSU rRNA
Rfam family: Bacterial small subunit ribosomal RNA
Source: RNAcentral